CCAAAAACAUCGCCUCUUGCAAAAACAACGAAUAAGAGGUCCCGCCUGCCCUGUGACUUAAAGUUUAACGGCCGCGGUAUUUUGACCGUGCGAAGGUAGCGCAAUCACUUGUCUUUUAAAUGGAGACCUGUAUGAAUGGCACAACGAGGGCUUAACUGUCUCCUUUUUCCAGUCAAUGAAAUUGAUCUCCCCGUGCAGAAGCGGGGAUCCACACAUAAGACGAGAAGACCCUAUGGAGCUUUAGACACUAAGGCAAAUCAUGUUAAACACCCCUAAACAAAGGGCCAAACAAGAUGAAUCUCGCCCUAAUGUCUUUGGUUGGGGCGACCGCGGGGAAAUACAAAACCCCCACGUGGAAUGGGAACACCCCUCCUACAACUCAGAGCUCCCGCUCUAACGAACAGAAUUUCUGACCAAUCAGAUCCGGCAAUGCCGAUCAACGGACCGAGUUACCCUAGGGAUAACAGCGCAAUCCCCUUUUAGAGCCCAUAUCGACAAGGGGGUUUACGACCUCGAUGUUGGAUCAGGACAUCCUAAUGGUGCAGCCGCUAUUAAGGGUUCGUUUGUUCAACGAUUAAAGUCCUACGUGAUCUGA
Molecule: ribosomal RNA, 595 nt
Filed under: Zebrasoma desjardinii (Desjardin's sailfin tang)
Lineage: Eukaryota; Metazoa; Chordata; Actinopteri; Acanthuriformes; Acanthuridae
Description: partial 16S ribosomal RNA
Rfam family: Bacterial large subunit ribosomal RNA
Source: RNAcentral